Molecule: ribosomal RNA, 402 nt
Filed under: uncultured bacterium
Lineage: Bacteria
Description: bacterial SSU rRNA
Rfam family: Bacterial small subunit ribosomal RNA
Source: RNAcentral
UGGGGAAUCUUGCACAAUGGGGGCAACCCUGAUGCAGCGACGCCGCGUGAGCGAUGAAGCCCUUCGGGGCGUAAAGCUCUUUCGACCGGAACGAUAAUGACGGUACCGGGAGAAGAAGCUGCGGCUAACUACGUGCCAGCAGCCGCGGUAAUACGUAGGCAGCAAGCGUUGUUCGGAGUUACUGGGCGUAAAGAGUGCGUAGGCGGUUUUCUAAGUUCGGUGUGAAAUCUCCCGGCUUAACUGGGAGGGUGCGCCGAAGACUGGGAAGCUGGAGUGUGGGAAAGGCAGGCGGAAUUCCUGGUGUAGCGGUGAAAUGCGUAGAUAUCAGAAGGAACACCGGCGGUGUAGACGGCUUGCUAGACCAUAACUGACGCUGAGGCACGAAAGCGUGGGUAGCAAACA